AUGUGGCUUCGUGUGCAGGUAUUUGCUUUGAGAGAUGCAGGGGAUUUAGCAGAGAAUGCAACGGCUUAUGUCAGUUUGGAGCCCUGCAACCACUACGGGAGAACCCCUCCCUGCACUGAAGCACUCAUCAAAGCCAAAGUUAAGGAGGUUGUGGUGGGGAUGACUGACCCAAAUCCUAUGGUAGCAUCCAAAGGGAUUGAAAAACUCAGAAACGCCGGGAUAGAUGUAAGGGUUGGCGUGGAGGAAGCAUUAUGUCUCAGAUUAAAUGAGGCUUACAUUCAUCGCAUGCUUACUGGGAAGGCCUUUGCAACUUUGAGAACCACACUCUCGAUGAACGGAAUUGUCAUAAAUCAAAUUGGGAGCGGAGCUGAUCAACCAGGAGGAUACUACUCGCAAUUAGCGAAAGAAUACGACGGAGUUAUAAUUUCAAGCGACAUGGCCAAGGCGACUACCUUACCAAUAUCACGCGAGGCUGGCGCAAAGCAGCCUCUUUACAUCAUCAUAGCGCAGGAAGAAGGUUCCAAAUUACACAUCCCGUUUCUCGACGAGGAGUCUGCAUCUAGCGCCAUAGUCCUGGCCGAUAGUCCCGUCACUGUGGAGCCAUCGGGAGUCAGCGUUUCUGUCCUCGAUCAGAUGAACCUGGAGUCCGUCCUUCAACUUCUCGCAGAUCGAGGGUUAUGUAGUGUCCUGGUGGAUUUCAUAGAUGACGGGGCUGGCCUAGUGUCGCUGCUGAAGAAUUUUCAGGAGGACAAGCUGGUGCAGAAGGUUGUUGUGGAGCUCUCUCCUGUCUGGAUGGUGAGCCCAGGGCUGAGCGACCUGGCGUUUGGUGGCAGCCAGUCGUUUCCACUGAAGAAUGUGGAGCACAAGGAGGUGAAUAGAACUUUGCUGCUUGAGGGAUAUUUGUAG
This 906-nucleotide ribosomal RNA is filed under the name Triticum aestivum (bread wheat). RNAcentral's name for it is "partial small subunit ribosomal RNA". Lineage: Eukaryota; Viridiplantae; Streptophyta; Magnoliopsida; Poales; Poaceae. The record is from RNAcentral.